This 565-nucleotide ribosomal RNA is filed under the name uncultured beta proteobacterium. RNAcentral describes it as "bacterial SSU rRNA". It matches the Rfam family "Bacterial small subunit ribosomal RNA", at positions 507 to 1069 of the family's 1533-position model. The record is from RNAcentral. Lineage: Bacteria; Pseudomonadati; Pseudomonadota; Betaproteobacteria.
GCCAGCAGCCGCCGGUAAUACGUAGGGUCCAAGCGUUAAUCGGAAUUACUGGGCGUAAAGCGUGCGCAGGCGGUUCCAUAAGACAGAUGUGAAAUCCCCGGGCUUAACCUGGGAAUGGCAUUUGUGACUGUGGGGCUAGAGUGUGGCAGAGGGGGGUGGAAUUCCACGUGUAGCAGUGAAAUGCGUAGAGAUGUGGAGGAACACCGAUGGCGAAGGCAGCCCCCUGGGCUAACACUGACGCUCAUGCACGAAAGCGUGGGGAGCAAACAGGAUUAGAUACCCUGGUAGUCCACGCCCUAAACGAUGUCAACUGGUUGUUGGGAUGGAGACAUCUUAGUAACGAAGCUAACGCGUGAAGUUGACCGCCUGGGGAGUACGGUCGCAAGAUUAAAACUCAAAGGAAUUGACGGGGACCCGCACAAGCGGUGGAUGAUGUGGAUUAAUUCGAUGCAACGCGAAAAACCUUACCUACACUUGACAUGCCUAGAACCUUGCAGAGAUGCGGGGGUGCCCGAAAGGGAAUUAGGACACAGGUGCUGCAUGGCUGUCGUCAGUUCGUGUCGUG